GUGGUGGUGGGGGUGGGGGUCUUCAAAACCAGCAGAUGCA
Molecule: transfer RNA, 40 nt
Filed under: Gloeochaete wittrockiana
Lineage: Eukaryota; Glaucocystophyceae; Gloeochaetales; Gloeochaetaceae
Description: partial Selenocysteine transfer RNA
Source: RNAcentral